UACGGGGGGGGCAAGCGUUGUUCGGAAUUACUGGGCGUAAAGGGCUCGUAGGCGGCCAACUAAGUCAGACGUGAAAUCCCUCGGCUUAACCGGGGAACUGCGUCUGAUACUGGAUGGCUGGAGUUUGGGAGAGGGAUGCGGAAUUCCAGGUGUAGCGGUGAAAUGCGUAGAUAUCUGGAGGAACACCGGUGGCGAAGGCGGCAUCCUGGACCAAUACUGACGCUGAGGCGCGAAAGCCAGGGGAGCGAACGGG
Molecule: ribosomal RNA, 253 nt
Filed under: uncultured bacterium
Lineage: Bacteria
Description: partial 16S ribosomal RNA
Rfam family: Bacterial small subunit ribosomal RNA
Source: RNAcentral